This is a long non-coding RNA of Mytilus californianus (California mussel), 1435 nucleotides long. RefSeq lists it as uncharacterized. The transcript is spliced from 2 exons. The record is from RefSeq and is a predicted model, not a curated record. NCBI's taxonomy places the organism in Eukaryota, Metazoa, Mollusca, Bivalvia, Mytilida, Mytilidae.
AAUCUAAAUUAUUUAUUGACACAGGAAAAUGUGUCAACAGGUGGCAAAUAGACAUAAUCAUUCAUUAACCUUAUGUAACAAUUUGUAAGAGGUCAAAAGUAAUAACAUAUCGACAAGUCAAAACAUGAAAAUGACCCGUGGAUAAACGACUUUGUCAUGAGGUCAAAAUUACAUCGUAAACAAAAUGGACAGUCAGAUCAUGGAUGUAUCUCAAGUGACAAUAACAAAGAUGCAGAAGUUAGUAAGAGCAGAAAUGUUUGGAAGAAGACAGCUGACUGUGCUCAAUAUCAAACUGAAUGAAAUAAACAAAAGGCUUAAAAUUUGCAAAGACAGAGGAGUUAAUUCACAUCUGUACGUAUUAAAACAACGGCGGAAAGUGACAGAAAACGUGAGAAAUAUGUAUGGUAUCUAUGUCAGGAGGAAAAUGACGGCAGUCGCUAGAAUGAUUAUAACUAACUUUUCAAAUUCAGUGUUUGAAUCCAGCAAUUCCAGUUCAGAUUCACAAAAUAAUGACGAAACAGAAAAUUUAAAUUCCCCUCGAAGCGAUGACGUCGAUGUAAACACUUCCGUGGACAGCAACAUAUCGACUGAUUCUUCAUCGAAUGACACUGAAUCAGCGCAGCAAGACAUUUCUGUGAAUGUUAACAGCGAGCAGACAGGGCAGCAACAAUAUUCUGAUGAUACUGAGGCUUCGAAUCAGAACAUAUUGACUUCCAGUGAAUAAUUCCAUCAGUGUUACUUUUAUUUUUUUUUUUAAAUAUUUCAUGCUCUAACAUCGAACCCAAAUGCAACUGAAAACACUGGGUCUCUUUAUAUCUGUUUUUAUAAUUUUUUUCAUUACUUACAUUAUUUUUUUGAAACUUUUUUGGCUUUAUAUUCAAACGAAAAAGGAAUUCCGGUGACAAGAACUGUAUCCCUUUCAUUUCAAAUUUUACUUUCCGAGUUUACGGUCUCUCCCCGUGAUCGGCUCUCCCACUCGCGAGGUUAAUAUGGAGAUCAGAGAGCAGCGAAAUAUAACGAUUGAAUUAUUUAGGUUAUCUGCGGGGACGUUAUUGAUUAUAUCAGAGACCUAUUAAUCAGUUAUAUUUCUUGGAUUAUGAGUGAAAGCCAAACUACGGCAAAGAUUUUAGGGUCCGUUAUAUAUCUAACGAGACAUAUAAAAGUCUUGAUAUAUAUUUCAAAUGAAACAGUUAAACAAAAUAAUUGUAAAAGCAUUAUAAUUGUGGUUGUUUUCGUUACUAGCGUGUUUACCGAAAUAAACCAAUGACUUCCUUCCUUUAAUUAGUCAUAAGAGGAAUAAUAAUUUGAGUAACAGGAAAUUCUACAAAUUGUCUUUUGUUCGUACCCUUUUAAAGAAUAUACCUUUUAUAUUUUUGUUGUUAUACCUGUGUUAUCUGUAUAAUAUUUAUAGAACUGAUUAAAUUUAUCAAACGUA